AUUGGUACAAAUGGAGCCAAAUUGGUACUUGGAGCCCUAAUAGGACAACCUGCAGGGAAAAAAAGAGAGAAAACAUCAGAUUUCAUUGCUUUCCCUCCUUCCUUCUCAGGAUUCCAAGCUCUCCCAUCCAGAUUUGACCUUGGGCCCACCUUGGACAUGGGAGGAUGCCCAAGAGACCCUUAGCCUGCAGCCAGAUGGGAGCACCCGGACUUUGUUCUCUGCUGCUGAGGUGCCAACAGCUGAAGAUCUGGAGGAAGAAGAGGGAAGCCUUUCUAUUGAGGAUGAAGGCUUUGAGCUGUUGAACUCCACUUACAAUAAAAUUACUGGCCCUGGCAGGCCAGGGAUCAGCAGGAGCAGACCACAGAUCAUUGGCAUCCCCAGAUCAUCAGCCAAGAAGGAGCAAGCCUCUGACCCUGGGCAGGAAAACAUCACCAAGGAGAAGCUGAAGGGCAAUGCAGACACCCGCCUUCGCCUCCCAGCUAUCAAGCCUGGCCAUGCCACCAACCCCAUUGCCUCCUCCAACGUGUUCCCAUGGAGACAACAGGCAGCUGCACCCAAGGAUUCCUCAGGGAAGGCUGCAGGGGAUCCAGAGCAUCCUCCCACCCCCCUGAGGCACCCCAUCUUACCAUCAGUGCGUGGAUAUUGGGCUCAUGUGAAGCCAGGACCCCCAGGGCUGCCGGGACCCCCAGGGCUGCCGGGAUGCCCUGGGAGACGUGGACUGGUGGGGCCCAAAGGAGACAAAGUGAGUAUCCAGGAAAAUGGGUGAAGCUGUGGGGUGUGGCCAAGGGUUUGGGGAAACACCACUGAUGGUCUGGGUUUGCAUCAUGCGUGUUUUAAAUCAACACAGCAAAGUGAGCAUCCAGUGCUGCAGUGUAGUGGCCCCUUAUGUGUAUUUGGAAGAGGAGAACACUCUU
This 914-nucleotide long non-coding RNA is filed under the name Chrysolophus pictus (golden pheasant). RNAcentral's name for it is "lncRNA (ENSCPIG00010007576.1)". The record is from RNAcentral. Lineage: Eukaryota; Metazoa; Chordata; Aves; Galliformes; Phasianidae.